UACUCCGGGGAUAACAGGCUGAUACCGCCCAAGAGUUCACAUCGACGGCGGUGUUUGGCACCUCGAUGUCGGCUCAUCACAUCCUGGGGCUGAAGCCGGUCCCAAGGGUAUGGCUGUUCGCCAUUUAAAGUGGUACGCGAGCUGGGUUUAGAACGUCGUGAGACAGUUCGGUCCCUAUCUGCCGUGGNCGUUNGAGAUUUGAGAGGGGCUGCUCCUAGUACGAGAGGACCGGAGUGGACGAACCUCUGGUGUUCCGGUUGUCACGCCAGUGGCAUUGCCGGGUAGCUAUGUUCGGAAGAGAUAACCGCUGAAAGCAUCUAAGCGGGAAACUUGCCUCAAGAUGAGAUCUCACUGGAGCCUUGAGCCCCCUGAAGGGCCGUCGAAGACUACGACGUUGAUAGGUUGGGUGUGUAAGCGCUGUGAGGCGUUGAGCUAACCAAUACUAAUUGCCCGUGAGGCUUGACCAU
This 467-nucleotide non-coding RNA is filed under the name Halioglobus sp. HI00S01. Its description in RNAcentral is "Bacterial large subunit ribosomal RNA". It matches the Rfam family "Bacterial large subunit ribosomal RNA", at positions 2464 to 2925 of the family's 2925-position model. Lineage: Bacteria; Pseudomonadati; Pseudomonadota; Gammaproteobacteria; Cellvibrionales; Halieaceae. The record is from Rfam by way of RNAcentral.